This 422-nucleotide long non-coding RNA is filed under the name Brassica napus (rape). Its description in RNAcentral is "long non-coding RNA (BNAP_LNC006210)". The record is from RNAcentral. Lineage: Eukaryota; Viridiplantae; Streptophyta; Magnoliopsida; Brassicales; Brassicaceae.
CGGACUAGGCUUGGUGUGUAUUUGGUUAGUGUAGGCCUGACGUUGGCAUGUAUGUGUUUGAAGGAUUGCUUGUGAAGGGUGGUGGAUAUUAAAGCUAUGCGGUAUCAUUAGUUGGCCGAUCAUGUUCUUGUUUGAUUGUUGGUCGACCGGCUCAUGAUACUUGUAUAGUCUAAGUGUCUAACACUACAUGAAUACUGAACUCAAGCGUAUAUAUGGUUAACCAGGGAUUGGUUGUUAACUUGUUUAAAUGCAGGUUCCCGUUACUUGAAGCUAGAUCAUGGCAGGAGGCCAAGACUAACUUAGUAACGGUUUGCUUAGCCCUAGCUUUUAUUGCAUGCUAGGGCUAGAUUGAUUGUUAUUUUGGGUUGUCUGGGUUAGAGUCUAGGUUGCGGGUAGAGGCCACCAGCUCACUGAGUAAUACU